GUGGCUCAGUGGUAGAGCUCUUGCCUUGCAUGCAGGAAGCCCUGGGUUCGAUUUCUCAGC
This 60-nucleotide transfer RNA is filed under the name Dipodomys ordii (Ord's kangaroo rat). It matches the Rfam family "tRNA", at positions 7 to 64 of the family's 71-position model. Rfam says of the family: Transfer RNA (tRNA) molecules are approximately 80 nucleotides in length. Their secondary structure includes four short double-helical elements and three loops (D, anti-codon, and T loops). Lineage: Eukaryota; Metazoa; Chordata; Mammalia; Rodentia; Heteromyidae. The record is from Rfam by way of RNAcentral.